GGAAUUGUUCGCAAUGGGCGCAAGCCUGAUGACGCAAUGCCGCGUGGAGGAUGAAGGUCUUCGGAUUGUAAACUCCUGUUGCCAGGGACGAAUGGCUCCGACCUAAUACGUCGGAGAAUGACGGUACCUGGUGAGGAAGCCCCGGCUAACUCUGUGCCAGCAGCCGCGGUAAUACCGAGGGGGCAAGCGUUGUUCGGAAUUACUGGGCGUAAAGCGCACGUAGGCGGCUUUGUAAGUUAGAGGUGAAAGCCCGGAGCUCAACUCCGGAACUGCCUUUAAGACUGCAUCGCUUGAACGUCGGAGAGGUAAGUGGAAUUCCGAGUGUAGAGGUGAAAUUCGUAGAUAUUCGGAAGAACACCAGUGGCGAAGGCGACUUACUGGACGACUGUUGACGCUGAGGUGCGAAAGCGUGGGGAGCAAAC
This 422-nucleotide ribosomal RNA is filed under the name uncultured bacterium. RNAcentral's name for it is "bacterial SSU rRNA". It matches the Rfam family "Bacterial small subunit ribosomal RNA", at positions 358 to 773 of the family's 1533-position model. The record is from RNAcentral.